Molecule: long non-coding RNA, 517 nt
Organism: Contarinia nasturtii (swede midge)
Lineage: Eukaryota; Metazoa; Arthropoda; Insecta; Diptera; Cecidomyiidae
Exons: 3
Source: RefSeq, a predicted model, not a curated record
GAACGUGUGUGUAUGAGUGCGAACUUAUUGAAAUGAACGAAAUAUACACGAAUAAAGCGUAUAUAAAAUCAAUGGAAGCAUUUCAAAGAGCACAUUGAACGUUCAACAUUGGAAAAGUGCCAGCAAAAGUGAAUUCAUUUUAUUUUUAAUUCAAACCAAUAACGACGACCAACAAAAAUGUCCAGUUUAAAAUUGAUAAUCGCUAUUAUUGCUAUGAUUGCAUACGCGACGGCUGCACCAAAACCGCAUAAAUUUGGAUAUGGUUUACCAGUCGCCGUUGAGCCAGUUGUGCCCGUUGCAGUUCCAGUACAAAGAAUUGUACCAGUUCAACCCAUUAUAUCCGUUCAACCUAUCGUACCUGUUCAACCCGUCGUCUCAGUAGUUCCGGUCUUUGGACGCUUUGGCCAUUUUGGUAAAUUCAGAAAAUUCUUUUAAACGUGACGACGUGCAAACCAGAGAUGAAUUUAAAAAAAAUAUUACCACUUAUUGUAAAUAAACUUUCAUCUUCAUAUUUUUU